Mandrillus leucophaeus (drill) is the source of this 467-nucleotide long non-coding RNA. RefSeq lists it as uncharacterized. The transcript has 3 exons. Lineage: Eukaryota; Metazoa; Chordata; Mammalia; Primates; Cercopithecidae. The record is from RefSeq and is a predicted model, not a curated record.
CUCCUUUCAUUUUGCCUCUUGGAUUGUCAUGAACUUCCCGAGCAAGGAGGCCAUCCACCAUGCAGCGUAAUGUCUUGCUAAGAGAAAUUAGUAUUCAGUCUGCUCAGGUUCCAGCAAAGACUUUCUUCAUGAAGAUCUUCAAGUGGAAUCGAGCAGCCUUGCCCAUAAAGUCUUUCCUGUGGCUCCACUGAGAAAUUCAAUUAAGUGUUCCAAUAAUGCUCUGAAACAAAGUGGUCCAAUUCAGGUGAGGUAAUUUGUCUUGCAAGCAUAGCCCAUCUGUAUUCUUUACACUAAGGCAAGAGGCAAGCAGAAGACAGAGAGAAAGAAAAAGGCCUUCCGGGAAAGGAAGCCCCCUUUUCAGUCUGCCCAGGCGAAAGUAGAUUUACUCUGAGGAUUCACUUCAAGGGUGAAGCUUUAGGAGUCCUUCACUUGCUCUGGUUUCAUAAAUAUUCACCUUCUUACAUACA